Molecule: ribosomal RNA, 582 nt
Filed under: uncultured bacterium
Lineage: Bacteria
Description: bacterial SSU rRNA
Rfam family: Bacterial small subunit ribosomal RNA
Source: RNAcentral
CCUACGGGAGGCAGCAGCUAAGAAUAUUCCGCAAUGGACGGAAGUCUGACGGAGAGACGCCGCGUGGAUGAUGAAGGCCGAAAGGUUGUAAAGUUCUUUUGCUGGGGAAGAAUAACCGCAGGAGGGAAUGCCACGGGAUGACAAGAACCGGCGAAUAAGCCCCGGCCAAUUACGUGCCAGCAGCCGCGGUAACACGUAGGGGGCGAGCGUUGUUCGGAAUUACUGGGCGUAAAGGGCAUGUAGGCGGCUUGGAAAGCCUGGCGUGAAAGUCUGCAGCUUACCUGCAGGGGUGCGCUGGGAACUGGUGAGCGAGACUGACGGAGAGGGAGCAGGAAUUAACGGUGUAGGGGUGAAAUUUGUAGAUAUCAGGAUGAACACCGAUGGCGAAGGCAAGGUCCUGGCCGAUGACUGACGCUGAGGUGCGAAAGUGUGGGGAUCAAACAGGAUUAGAUACCUUGGUAGUCCACACAGUCACAGAUGUGCAUUAGGUGCUGGGCCGGUAGCUUCGGUGCCGGACCGAACGUGGUACGUGCUCCCCCUGGGGAGCAUGCUCGCAAGGGUGAAACUCAAAGGAAUUGACGG